Molecule: ribosomal RNA, 502 nt
Filed under: uncultured bacterium
Lineage: Bacteria
Description: bacterial SSU rRNA
Rfam family: Bacterial small subunit ribosomal RNA
Source: RNAcentral
GAUCAUGGCUCAGGAUGAACGCUAGCUACAGGCUUAACACAUGCAAGUCGAGGGGCAGCGGGGAUCUAGCUUGCUAGAUUUGCCGGCGACCGGCGCACGGGUGAGUAACACGUAUCCAACCUGGCCCAUACUCGGGUAUAGCCUCUCGAAAGGGAGAUUAAUCCCCGAUGUUGUUGUUUCACCGCAUGGUGUUGCAACCAAAGAAUUUCGGUAUGGGAUGGGGAUGCGUUCCAUUAGCUUGUUGGCGGGGUAACGGCCCACCAAGGCGACGAUGGAUAGGGGUUCUGAGAGGAAGGUCCCCCACACUGGAACUGAGACACGGUCCAGACUCCUACGGGAGGCAGCAGUGAGGAAUAUUGGUCAAUGGGCGCAAGCCUGAACCAGCCAAGUAGCGUGAAGGAUGACUGCCCUAUGGGUUGUAAACUUCUUUUAUACGGGAACAAAUGUAGGUACGUGUACCUAUUUGCGUGUACCGUAUGAAUAAGCAUCGGCUAACUCCGUG